UUUCAAUGAUGGUCAUCAAAUGUUUACCGAAUUUAAUUUUUAGUGUAGACCAUUAUGAACCUGAAGGA
Small nucleolar RNA from Schistocerca nitens (vagrant locust), 68 nucleotides. Lineage: Eukaryota; Metazoa; Arthropoda; Insecta; Orthoptera; Acrididae. The record is from RefSeq and is a predicted model, not a curated record.